CGCGUAGGCGGACUUUCAAGUCGGUUGUGAAAUCUCCAGGCUUAACUUGGAGCUUGCAUCCGAUACUGUUGGUCUUGAGUAUAUCAGAGGAAAGCGGAAUUCCAGGUGUAGCGGUGAAAUGCGUAGAUAUCUGGAAGAACACCAGUAGCGAAGGCGGCUUUCUGGGGUAUAACUGACGCUGAAGCGCGAAGGCUAGGGGAGCAAACA
This 207-nucleotide ribosomal RNA is filed under the name uncultured bacterium. Its description in RNAcentral is "partial 16S ribosomal RNA". It matches the Rfam family "Bacterial small subunit ribosomal RNA", at positions 568 to 774 of the family's 1533-position model. The record is from RNAcentral.